RNAcentral lists this long non-coding RNA (541 nucleotides) under Phasianus colchicus (ring-necked pheasant). RNAcentral describes it as "lncRNA (ENSPCLG00000001444.1)". The record is from RNAcentral. Lineage: Eukaryota; Metazoa; Chordata; Aves; Galliformes; Phasianidae.
UGCUUUUGCUACCUUUCAUAGAAUCACAGAACCAAAGAACUGUAGGGUCAUAGAGUCAUAGAAUCACAGAAUCAUGGAAAGGCUUGGGUUGGAAGAGACCUCAAAGAUCACCUAGUUCCACCCUUCAUGCUCAUAUAUCUCUUUGGUCUGAAUCGUAACACCAUUAUUGUCACAGGUGCACAGCACAAGAGGGAGCUGAAGAACAUAGGUUAUGGGACUUGCCCAGGCUGAUGAGCAAAGUUGCAAUUAUGAAUAUGAAUAAUUGAGGUUGGCUUUCAUAUCAGCAGCCAGGUCUGUGAGACCAGCUCUUCAUGCAGUAUGGAGCAGUACGAGCUGGAGCCUCUUCUGGCUGAUCAUCAGGGUGAAGCAAACCACUGCAUUGUUACUUGGAAAUUGGCCAGGUUUGCAGCUGAAGCAUCAACACAAGCUGUCUAACAGCAUGUUGAUGCUACUGUCUUUGGGAAUGAUGCAGAAGAGUUCAUUAUUAGUGAGGUUCUGGAAACUGAGACCCACAGAUCUUUGAGAAGAUUGCCUUGGGAAG